GGCUUUUUAGUAUUAUUUUUUGGUAUUUUUGUUUUCCAAACAAAAGGUUUUUUUAAGCUA
Molecule: transfer RNA, 60 nt
Filed under: Dirofilaria sp. 'Thailand II'
Lineage: Eukaryota; Metazoa; Nematoda; Chromadorea; Rhabditida; Onchocercidae
Description: tRNA-Gly
Source: RNAcentral